UCUGUUCUCAGGUGAAUCUGAUGGAGACAGACUCGCUCCUUUUAUACGGCGUGACCCGAGCACUUUAUUGACCAGUGUACUGAAGUCCUAUCAAAAAAUAAAGUUCAAGGAGAGACUUUCAGUGACGCACAGGACUUGUACCGCGUCAGCAGAAACGCUGACCAGCAGGGUAAACACACAGGGCCAAAGGCUGAUCAACAAGGGGCCAGAAAAACAGCAGCAGGACAAACUGGCGCUUGCUUAUGCACCUACUGGAACAUCCAGACAGUCAGGAAUUAGAGUCAUCCAAUCUAGAGCCUCCAGAUACUGUGCAUCCAAGAUCCAAGAAAAAAACCAAAAAAAUAUUCCAAGCCUUGUUCCAGGCUCUGUUACAAGCCCUGUUCUACAGUAAGGGUCAAUGUGGCGACUUCCCUCACCAUGUUGCAAGCCAAGCUCCCUGCAGAGGCUGAUGUGGCAGCCUCCAAAACCAAGCUGCAUGCAGAGGGAGAAGUAUGGUCUUCCAGAUCAUGGCAGGCCCUGUGUCUUUUGUUUUGAUUCUCCGCUCCUGUCUUGUUGCUGGAAUAAGGACACAUUGCUCCCCGAACGUGUCCUUAUUGUAUUCAUCAUAUUCACUUGUUUUCACAUUUGUUCUUAGUUGAGUAUUCUGAGUAUUCUCUUGAGUAUUUUGAAGACAUCACAUGAUGGCCUGUGCAUGGCAACAGUGAAAUUAAGUGGAAACACAAAAUUACUGCAACAUGGACAUGUGACAUAACAAAGUGCUCAGAGUUUUGCUCAGAGCACAAAGAGUAAUAGUAUUUGCACCCUAUCUAUCCACUUGCAACCAAAAGUAUUGGCACCCUGUCUGUCCACUCGGGGAUGAGUUUUGUCACGGCAAAAUGUACAUAUCUAGUUAUUUAUUGCUCCUCUAAUGUACCCUUAUUUUAUUCACCAUAUUCACCUGUUUCCAGGUUUGUUCUUAUUUCUAUUUAUGUCUCUUGUGUGCCAUGUCCUCAAUGUGAAUAUCAGUGUUGUUUACUCGCUGUACUAAGCUAUGUUUCAUGUUUCCUAUUCUCAAUUCUUGUAUAGCCAUAGCCAUUCUUUGUUUUAUUUUUAGUUUUCAUGUUUAUUUUUUACCUCAGGUUCUGUUCUAUGUAUUUUGUGUUCUCACCCUAGCCGAUGAUAAUCUGUUUGCUGAUCACUUGACCUUCUACGUUUGUGCUUAUUAAUGCCGGCUCCAUCCGUCCACCUCUGUAUUUCAAACACCACCAUAUUACACCAUAAAACCUCAAAAAAAUCUUCUCAGGAUAAAGAAGCAACAAGAGGGAUUAAACAAAUAUCUGUUUAGCUACAUGUUUUUACUGUUUUGUCACUGAAAACGCCUAGCUACAACAUUUUCAGCAUUUACUGGACAGACAGAGCAAUGUACAUUUAUCUCAUUGAUACAACUGAGCAAUUUAAGCUUAAGGGCCUUAAAAAACCUGGUGGUCCUAGGCUUCAAACUUCCAACGUUCCAAUCAGUAGUCCAAUGUCUUAAGCGCUGAGCUAGUACUUCCCCACUAGAAGAGGAUGCCUUUCUAUUAUGGCACAGAUGUAACAGUCCAUCCAAAUCCUUGAAGCCUAUGUUACUCUGAGAAUCAUGAGAUGGCCCCUUAUGGAGAGCCUAAAGAUUACUGCACUUGGUAUCACAUAGAUACACUACAGAUGGCUGUGGAUGGUUUCACAUGGACAGCUGAAAUAUUAGACUUAGUGAAAUAGUUUAUGUGUCUCAUUCAUGAUUUAGUGGAUUUCUGUACUUUGACACUGUAAGCUUAAAGCUAAAAACUAUAAUGGAAUAAAAAUGUCUGAUGCUUAUACUGAAGAUGCUUUCAAUAGCACUGUUUAACUUAUUAGUAUAUAGCUGUGAAUUAGUAAUGUUUCAUAAUCUGGUGUCACCCAGAAGAGUAUGGGUUCCCUUUUUUGUCUGGUUCCUUUUUCCUCAUGUUGCUGAGUUUUUCCUUACCACCUUCAC
Long non-coding RNA from Hemibagrus wyckioides, 1987 nucleotides. RefSeq lists it as uncharacterized. Lineage: Eukaryota; Metazoa; Chordata; Actinopteri; Siluriformes; Bagridae. The transcript is spliced from 3 exons. The record is from RefSeq and is a predicted model, not a curated record.